UGGAAAGUUAGAAUUAAAUUAUGCAUGUAAUUAACAGAGAGUCUGGCACAUGGUGAAUGCUCUAUAAAAGUAAGCCACUCACUACUGUGUUGUGUUUUUUUUAUCUUAAGUCAAUAUCAGUAUAAAAUCUCUUGGGUUGCCCCAAGACAGUCACGGUCAUCCACCUGGCUCUUGUCUUUGUGCCUUGUUAGCUUUGGGAGGGCAGAAUAAAGUCACUGAAGAAGUAGAAAAUGUGUCACACUUUGGACAUAAAGCAAGACAAGUUUAUGCCCCUCCAGGUUUUAGUUCUCCAGGAAAUAGGACAUGCCAUUUGCUACCUUUGAACAGAUUUCUUUGGUCGACACGCUACUGAGAAGACAAAGGAGCAAUAUGUAUCAAAAGACAGUGAAUUUUCAGCUAAGGCGUUUUGUGUUAAAUAAUUUUUUUCUGAACGUACUACUUGAUUUUACCAGCCAGCAGCGUGUGCAACAAAUGGUAGAUUUUUCAUAAGAUACUUUUAAAAAAAGUAAUUUGGUCCUAUAUGUUCUACUAGAAUAUCUGUAAUAUUUUCCUUCACAAGGGGGGAGCUGGCCAAUCAGCUCUCAACCACAUUUUCUCUCCCCUGUUGUGUAUUGAAUCAUCCGUUUUCUUCCCAGGGUGGUAUCGUGUAGACUAGGGCCUGGGGCGGGGCCCCCUAAACUGCACACCACCAGCUGUGAGGCCUUAAAUGACUACUUUCUCUGUUAAGAUCUCAGGUUCCUCAUGGGACAAAUGAGAAAGUUGAGCUAGUUAAAAGCUUCCUUCCUAUCAUAAAACUUUAUUCAAUUACACAUCUUCAACACUUUAAGUAACAUGUUAUGUAUUGGCUCUUUAGGGAGCAAAAUUUAUACAAAUGUGAUGAAAGUUUCCAUCCAGGCCUGGUUCAUUCAGCAGGCAAGCCUUAACAACUACAAGUGAGGCAAGGAAUGUUACUAGACUCAUGCUCCAUCCUCCUAAUCCUGUGAAAAUGUGUUUAAGUGUGUCUCUGAGGGGUGACAAAGGACAGACCUGUCUUAAACAGACCCAAAUCACUGGUGCGCCUACAACUUGGACGAGAAUGGACUUUCGCCACGUGGCAUUGACUGAUUUUCAAAGAAUACUCACUUCCUCAAUCACCCAGGGAUUUCCUCUUCUCUGUCUACUGAGGAGAAAUGAAAAAAUAUAUAAAUCUAGUCCUCUUCAUAAAAGAACAGCCAAAAGAGGCAUGGGCAGCUAUACUUCCCUGCAUGUAAAAAAGAGGCUGAUUUUUGUUUUUAAAGAAUCAGCUUCCCCUUAGAAGGAAAAGCCUUAGGGAAGCCUCUCCUUUACUGGUUGAAGCUUCUGAAAACAGCUCCUGAAAGAUGCGUCAGCCUGUCUCAGCUAGAGCCCCACAGGUGACCACCUUUCUUGAUGCCCCGACCACGCUCCCUGCUUCUAGGGUCUUGCCUGUCUGUCUACUCCUAUAAUAAUCUCAAUGAGUAGAGAUUAUGUCUUAAUUCUGCUCUCCUUGAAGCCUCCACCACAUCAUCCCUCCUCCUUAAAUAUUACAUCAGCAGGCAGCGUAAGGUAAAACCCUAACUUUUGAAAAGCUGCAGCAAAAUCCACAGAUUUGAUUCCCGAGAUAUUUGUGUCCCCAAAUGCUCUUUGCUUUCUUGGUGCAGCCCCACAGAACUGUGGCAGGGGAGGAGUUAGAACCAGCGUCUGAGCCAUCAGAGACUCUGCGAUGGCUCAAAGAAGAAAAAGAUUUGGUUAUCAUUGGAGGCAUUUGUCUGCUUGAAGGCCACCCAGAGCUGUCCCUAAGAGCCUGAAUGUCAAAACCAAUUGAAAAUGAAAAGGGGAAAAAAUACAGGAAAAUUCUAUAGUAGUGAAGGCAUCUGAAAAAGAACUUCUUCUACAUGUGAAAAUUAUCAUGUUGUAGAGAAUAUUCUGUUUAUGCAGCAUAAAUGGCCGUGUAUUCUUUACAUGCACUUUUAAACAGGUUCACCCCAAGCAAGUAAGGCGACUAUCAUCGCUUUAUAUCAGCUGCAGCAUUACUUCUUGAUGAGAUACAACUUACACUAAACCCACACCUGUUGUUUUAUUUAACUGUAUUUUUGCUAUUGAGUAUUUUCUUCUUUGGUGUAAAGUUCCUGGCGUCUCUGAGAAUUACACCUCACCAAGAAGUCCAUUAUGAUAUUCUCAUGCACAUGAAACACCUCCGUCUCUACCAACCCAGCCACCACCAUUUUUUUUCCCACGAGUUUGAAUUUGAACCCUUUCAUCCUGCGGAGUUUUUAAAAUGCUCCCUCAUGAGAAGUGAUUUCUGAGUCUGGGUGGAAGCUCCAGGUAGGCUGUGUAUCACAGACUCGGGCGGCAGAUACAGCCCUCCACAGACAGUGUGCCGAGACCACCUGGAGCAGUGAAGCAUUGCCCAGACUUCUAUGCCUACAAGAUCUUUCUGAGUUAGGGACAAAUUAUUCAUAUAGUUUUUAAAUGAAACUUAUUCAAAAAAAUUUUACUGUGUCAAAGCUG
Molecule: long non-coding RNA, 2508 nt
Organism: Equus caballus (horse)
Lineage: Eukaryota; Metazoa; Chordata; Mammalia; Perissodactyla; Equidae
Source: Ensembl